CCUACGGGUGGCAGCAGUGAGGAAUAUUGGUCAAUGGGCGUGAGCCUGAACCAGCCAAGUCGCGUGAGGGAUGAAGGUUCUAUGGAUUGUAAACCUCUUUUAUCAGGGAAUAAAGUGUGGCACGUGUCCUAUUUUGUAUGUACCUUAUGAAUAAGGAUCGGCUAACUCCGUGCCAGCAGCCGCGGUAAUACGGAGGAUCCGAUCUUUAUCCGGAUUUAUUGGGUUUAAAGGGUGCGUAGGCGGCAGUUUAAGUCAGCGGUGAAAGUCUGUGGGUCAACCAUAGAAUUGCCUUUGAAACUGCAGUGCUUGAGUACGCGAGAAGCAGGCGGAAUGCGUGGUGUAGCGGUGAAAUGCUUAGAUAUCACGCAGAACCCCGAUUGCGAAGGCAGCAUGCC
Molecule: ribosomal RNA, 395 nt
Filed under: uncultured bacterium
Lineage: Bacteria
Description: partial 16S ribosomal RNA
Rfam family: Bacterial small subunit ribosomal RNA
Source: RNAcentral